CAGCAGCCGCGGGAAUACGUAGGGUGCAAGCGUUGUCCGGAAUUAUUGGGCGUAAAGAGCUCGUAGGCGGUUUGUCGCGUCUGCUGUGAAAUCCCGAGGCUCAACCUCGGGCUUGCAGUGGGUACGGGCAGACUAGAGUGCGGUAGGGGAGAUUGGAAUUCCUGGUGUAGCGGUGGAAUGCGCAGAUAUCAGGAGGAACACCGAUGGCGAAGGCAGAUCUCUGGGCCGUAACUGACGCUGAGGAGCGAAAGCGUGGGGAGCGAACAGGAUUAGAUACCCGGGUAGUCCCUGUCUCUUAUAC
RNAcentral lists this ribosomal RNA (301 nucleotides) under uncultured bacterium. RNAcentral describes it as "partial 16S ribosomal RNA". It matches the Rfam family "Bacterial small subunit ribosomal RNA", at positions 509 to 807 of the family's 1533-position model. The record is from RNAcentral.